CCUACGGGAGGCUGCAGUGGGGAAUAUUGCACAAUGGGCGCAAGCCUGAUGCAGCCAUGCCGCGUGUGUGAAGAAGGCCUUCGGGUCGUAAAGCACUUUCAGCGGGGAGGAAGGCGUUAAGGUUAAUAACCUGGGCGAUUGACGUUACCCGCAGAAGAAGCACCGGCUAACUCCGUGCCAGCAGCCGCGGUAAUACGGAGGGUGCAAGCGUUAAUCGGAAUUACUGGGCGUAAAGCGCACGCAGGCGGUCUGUCAAGUCGGAUGUGAAGUCCCCGGGCUCAACCUGGGAACUGCAUUCGAAACUGGCAGGCUAGAGUCUUGUAGAGGGGGGUAGAAUUCCAGGUGUAGCGGUGAAAUGCGUAGAGAUCUGGAGGAAUACCGGUGGCGAAGGCGGCCCCCUGGACAAAGACUGACGCUCAGGUGCGAAAGCGUGGGGAGCAAACAGGAUUAGAUACCCCGGUAGUC
RNAcentral lists this ribosomal RNA (465 nucleotides) under uncultured Klebsiella sp. RNAcentral describes it as "bacterial SSU rRNA". It matches the Rfam family "Bacterial small subunit ribosomal RNA", at positions 338 to 795 of the family's 1533-position model. The record is from RNAcentral. Lineage: Bacteria; Pseudomonadati; Pseudomonadota; Gammaproteobacteria; Enterobacterales; Enterobacteriaceae.